UAAAGUGUAGCCUUAUCUAAAUAACUAUAAGUACACUUUUCUUACCAAAGAGAGCGCUUUUAAAGAGUAACCUAUUUGUUAUAUUUUAGAUGCACUUUUAAAGUGUUUCCUAAUGUAAGAAACCAAAUACAUAUACACACUUAGUGAAUUUUUUGUUUUCUUUUCACGUCACCCCCAAAAUUAAUCCCACACCCUUCGUCUUCAGAAACCUGCGCUCUUCUGCUUCAGAAAUCUCACCACCACCUUCGCCGUUUUCAUGCCCUCACCUUCGCUCACCACCACUCACCGGCGCCCUUUUCCUUCGUCUUCACCUUUUCUCACCACUCACUGUCGCAGCUCAUCAUCUUCUUCACCUUCACCUUUGUUGCCCUGUACACCGCGUACCCCGACCGUAGCGCCGCUACCAGUGACGUUGUCAACAGAAUGAUUCUCCCUCUGGCACCGCGCUUCACUCUGUUCGUUGCCUCCACCAGAACACGCCCGGGGUGUUCACAGCGAAGAUUUUGUCGAACGUCUCUGAUUGUGAGAUAAAUUGCAAUUUCUCGUCCGAUUCCACUAGAAGAGAUGGUGAUGAUUGCUACUCGGUCAUGAGUGGGUUAAUAGUUCGAAUUUGAAGAAUUAAUUAGGUUUUUUACAAGUUCAAAAUUAGGUUUUUUUGAAGUUAUUUAUUAUGAUGAAUUGCUGAUUUACUGCAGAUUGAGCAUUAAGAUCCAGUUGUAUCUUAUGCAUUCAUGAACGGUAACUGCCAAUGACUCAGAUCGAGUCUCCAUUUGGAACUGUGAACACCGACGGGGUUUUUAAUUUUGGGGGGUUUUUGGGAUUCUGAGUCACCGCAAGUCACCUCUCACCGCCAUUGCUGCUCUGCUCUCUGCUCGCCCACUCUUCGUCACUGCCUUUAUAACUGUAAGCAGGGCAGUAACUGCUUGGAAAUUAGUUCUUGCUGGGCGCUUUCCACUGCUUCAUCAAUGGUGUGACUUUGUUAAGGAUAAUUCUGAAGAUGUGAGUGAAGAUUGAGAUGUUUAUCAUGAUGGUUUAUUGGCAAAGAUGGAGCUAGUGUUGGAAAUUGAAAGAUGUAUGGUUGAUGAUGAUGUCUUUUAUUAGAAGAUAUAUUAGUAGUAAACUCUAAUUGGUCUCAUGCAUAAUUUGAUGAGUAUACUUAUUCUAGUGUGAGAUGUAUGAAUACUCAAAAUUAUGAUCAUUUCGAUAUUUUUGGUUCAUUAU
This is a non-coding RNA of Arachis ipaensis, 1221 nucleotides long. The record is from RefSeq and is a predicted model, not a curated record. NCBI's taxonomy places the organism in Eukaryota, Viridiplantae, Streptophyta, Magnoliopsida, Fabales, Fabaceae.